Molecule: small nucleolar RNA, 67 nt
Filed under: Mastacembelus armatus (zig-zag eel)
Lineage: Eukaryota; Metazoa; Chordata; Actinopteri; Synbranchiformes; Mastacembelidae
Description: Small nucleolar RNA U54 (ENSMAMG00000016436.2)
Rfam family: Small nucleolar RNA U54
Source: Rfam by way of RNAcentral
UGAGCAAUGAGGAUAAAAUAUUCCAUUGAUAAACCCUGAUGACUGUAUACGCUAUUCUGAGCCAUGG